RNAcentral lists this ribosomal RNA (425 nucleotides) under uncultured bacterium. RNAcentral describes it as "partial 16S ribosomal RNA". It matches the Rfam family "Bacterial small subunit ribosomal RNA", at positions 354 to 795 of the family's 1533-position model. The record is from RNAcentral.
GUGAGGAAUUUUCCGUAAUGGGCGAAAGCCUGACGGAGCAAUGCCGCGUGAAGGAUGAAGGCCUAUGGGUUGUAAACUUCUUUUCUCAGAAAAGAAUUAUGACGGUAUCUGAGGAAUAAGCAUCGGCUAACUCUGUGCCAGCAGCCGCGGUAAGACAGAGGAUGCAAGCGUUAUCCGGAAUGAUUGGGCGUAAAGCGUCUGUAGGUUGUUUAAAAAGUAUUCUGUCAAAGAUUAGGGCUUAACCCUAGAUAGGCAGAAUAAACUUUUAAGCUAGAGUUUGGUAGAGGCAGAGGGAAUUCCCGGUGGAGCGGUGAAAUGCGUAGAUAUCGGGAGGAACACCAAAGGCGAAGGCACUCUGCUGGGCCAAUACUAACACUGAGAGACGAAAGCGAGGGGAGCAAAUGGGAUUAGAUACCCCUGUAGUC